RNAcentral lists this ribosomal RNA (274 nucleotides) under uncultured bacterium. RNAcentral's name for it is "partial 16S ribosomal RNA". It matches the Rfam family "Bacterial small subunit ribosomal RNA", at positions 523 to 796 of the family's 1533-position model. The record is from RNAcentral.
AUACGGAGGGUGCAAGCGUUAAUCGGAAUUACUGGGCGUAAAGAGCGCGUAGGCGGUUUGGUCAGUCGGAUGUGAAAGCCCCGGGCUUAACCUGGGAACUGCAUUCGAUACUGCCCGACUAGAGUAUGGUAGAGGGUAGUGGAAUUCCCGGUGUAGCGGUGAAAUGCGUAGAUAUCGGGAAGAACACCAGUGGCGAAGGCGGCUACCUGGACCAAUACUGACGCUGAGGCGCGAAAGCGUGGGGAGCAAACAGGAUUAGAAACCCGAGUAGUCC